Molecule: ribosomal RNA, 497 nt
Filed under: uncultured bacterium
Lineage: Bacteria
Description: partial 16S ribosomal RNA
Rfam family: Bacterial small subunit ribosomal RNA
Source: RNAcentral
GACGAACGCUGGCGGCGUGCCUAAUACAUGCAAGUUGAGCGCUGAAGGUUGGUACUUGUACCAACUGGAUGAGCAGCGAACGGGUGAGUAACGCGUGGGGAAUCUGCCUUUGAGCGGGGGACAACAUUUGGAAACGAAUGCUAAUACCGCAUAAAAACUUUAAACACAAGUUUUAAGUUUGAAAGAUGCAAUUGCAUCACUCAAAGAUGAUCCCGCGUUGUAUUAGCUAGUUGGUGAGGUAAAGGCUCACCAAGGCGAUGAUACAUAGCCGACCUGAGAGGGUGAUCGGCCACAUUGGUACGGAGACACGGCCCAAACUCCUACGGGAGGCAGCAGUAGGGAAUCUUCGGCAAUGGACGAAAGUCUGACCGAGCAACGCCGCGUGAGUGAAGAAGGUUUUCGGAUCGUAAAACUCUGUUGGUAGAGAAGAACGUUGGUGAGAGUGGAAAGCUCAUCAAGUGACGGUAACUACACAGAAAGGGACGGCUAACUACGUG